GGCUCAGGACGAACGCUGGCGGCGUGCUUAACACAUGCAAGUCGUACGGUAAGGCCCUUUCGGGGGUACACGAGUGGCGAACGGGUGAGUAACACGUGAGUAACCUGCCCACAACUUUGGGAUAACGCUAGGAAACUGGUGCUAAUACUGGAUAUGUGCUCCUGCUGCAUGGUGGGGGUUGGAAAGCUCCGGCGGUUGUGGAUGGACUCGCGGCCUAUCAGCUUGUUGGUGGGGUAGUGGCCUACCAAGGCGGCGACGGGUAGCCGGCCUGAGAGGGUGACCGGCCACAUUGGGACUGAGAUACGGCCCAGACUCCUACGGGAGGCAGCAGUGGGGAAUAUUGCACAAUGGGCGCAAGCCUGAUGCAGCAACGCCGCGUGCGGGAUGACGGCCUUCGGGUUGUAAACCGCUUUCAGCAGGGACGAAGCUUUUUGUGACGGUACCUGCAGAAGAAGCACCGGCUAACUACGUGCCAGCAGCCGCGGUAAU
Molecule: ribosomal RNA, 489 nt
Filed under: uncultured bacterium
Lineage: Bacteria
Description: bacterial SSU rRNA
Rfam family: Bacterial small subunit ribosomal RNA
Source: RNAcentral